UGGGGAAUAUUGGACAAUGGGCGAAAGCCUGAUCCAGCCAUGCCGCGUGUGUGAAGAAGGUCUUCGGAUUGUAAAGCACUUUAAGUUGGGAGGAAGGGCUGCAAGUUAAUACCCUGUAGUUUUGACGUUACCAACAGAAUAAGCACCGGCUAACUUCGUGCCAGCAGCCGCGGUAAUACGAAGGGUGCAAGCGUUAAUCGGAAUUACUGGGCGUAAAGCGCGCGUAGGUGGUUUGGUAAGAUGGAUGUGAAAUCCCCGGGCUCAACCUGGGAACUGCAUCCAUAACUGCCUGACUAGAGUACGGUAGAGGGUGGUGGAAUUUCCUGUGUAGCGGUGAAAUGCGUAGAUAUAGGAAGGAACACCAGUGGCGAAGGCGACCACCUGGACUGAUACUGACACUGAGGUGCGAAAGCGUGGGGAGCAAAC
Molecule: ribosomal RNA, 426 nt
Filed under: uncultured bacterium
Lineage: Bacteria
Description: bacterial SSU rRNA
Rfam family: Bacterial small subunit ribosomal RNA
Source: RNAcentral